Homo sapiens (human) is the source of this 3448-nucleotide long non-coding RNA. RefSeq lists it as uncharacterized. The transcript is spliced from 2 exons. The record is from RefSeq and is a predicted model, not a curated record. NCBI's taxonomy places the organism in Eukaryota, Metazoa, Chordata, Mammalia, Primates, Hominidae.
ACUCCAUCUGACCUACUUCACAGGCUGGGCUGCCAUGAGCGGCUGCUGCAGGCUGUGCACUGCACAAGGCCAAGGCUUACCAUUUGCAUGGUCUGCGGAGGAAUGGUGCUCCUGAGAGCUGUUCUCUGCAGCAGCUUUGCUCAUGGGGCACUGGUGAGCAGCAAACAGAAUCAUCGUCUUCAUCACCAUCAGCAGGAGCAGUGACUUUACCAAUGAUUGAUCAGCUGUUAUGUGCCAGGCUCUGUGCUAAGUGCUUUACAUUUUAUCCUCCCCUCCACCCUAUAUCAGGUAAGUACUGUUAUAUCUCAUCCCCAUUUUAUAAGUGAGAACACUGAGGCCAAAGGAAUUAAGUGAUCGGUCAGAGGUCAGUCAGAUCGGGAGUGAUGGGGCUGUAAUCCAAAUGCUGGGCUGGCUGACUCCUAAGUUCACACUUUGUCUUCAUUCAUGAUACAAAAGAGAUGUCUGUUUUCCUGAGGCCCACGGGCAGGGGAGGCAGGACUCCUAAGCCUGGGCCCUCUGACUGCCUGGGCCAGUGUUUCCGUGCCAGAAACCCUGUCUCAGAGGGCAGGAAAGAGAAUGGGGAGCCCUUGCAGAAUGUGGUUGGAUCCUUCUCUCUUGGCUCUGUCAUCCUUGCCUUGGGAUGUCCUCCCAACACAGGCCAUUAAUCUCACUCAAGGGCCAGUGCUGGCAGCGGUUAUGCUGGGGACAUCUACAUACCUUGCAUUCCUCCCCUUUCACAGAAAGGAAGAAGAAAUGGAAUUUCUGUCAGAUUGCUUGAACUCACUCUCUGGAAUCACUGCGCCCAUCUUUUCAGAGAUGUUGCUACCAGAAUCAUUCCCCCCUUCUCUUAUUUAUAUACACUCACACAAUUAGAUAUAACUAUAUUCACACAUAGACACAUAUUACAACUUGAACUUAGCACCUGCUCUUGAUAUGUAUGCCCAGAAGGCUGUCACACAAUCUUGCACACACCCACACAUUUGCACAUGCCCAUCCAGCUGAGCAACAUGUAUUUACACAGCACACACAUUUGCAUCAUAUCUGUUCAUGUGCAUGCAUGUGCACAGCUGUUCCCCUUAACUGCAGAAUGAAGUGAGCACAGCAGCACAGAACAACAGCUGGUAGGAAGCAUGUUUGUCGGGGUGUGGGGAGUGCAGGAGAGAGGAGGUGGGGUGGGGCCGGGAAGAAGUGAGUACUAGCAGAACAGAGGCUUGCAAAAGACUGCAGCAACCAGCCCCAGCUGGCUGUAGGGGCUCACAGUCUUGUCACUUAGAAGGUCUGUCUGAGAGACCUUGGUGGAGUGCAGCUUCAGCAUUUGGGGCCACAGCUCUGCAGGCUUUUUCUCUAAAAGGCUGCCCUAUUUGUGUUGUGUGUCCCUGUACACGUGCGUAUUUGGCUCAGGCUGACUUUCCAUACACAGACAGGGCUCUAUUUUUGGAUGUCUUGGUUCUCAUGAGUUGUGGCUAAGUGAGGAAGUCUGAGUCUCUCCUGAUGCCCACGCUUCCAGGAUGGCUCCUGGCUGUCUGCGUUAGCAGGUCACUUUUGGGCUAGCUACCUAUACCAGUCCAAAGGCUUGAUACAGGAACCACAUCAGAAUUGGUGACAAAACAAGCUGGGGGGCUCCUAAAGGAAGAUACUGGGAUUCUCAAUAGGCCAUCACCCAAGGGAAGCAGUAUUCUCCUCCUGCGACCAUGCCAUGGGAUGAAAGCCUCUGCCCUGUAUGUCUGGCCACCUUGCUAAAAACUGUCAGCCAGCUCUAGGCAGCUCCAGAGCUGUAUGACAGGAGUGGGAGGACUCUUGGGUCAGAACUGUAUUUGUGGGUGGUAAAUUUAUAUCUUACCCACUGAAUAUAGCUUUUUAUGGCUCAAGACAUAGGUUUGGUUUUCUUAAAAAAAGGUUUUCUUAAUUCAAAAAAUGUACACAUUUAUAGUAAGAAUACAAACAGUACAAAGAUGUCAGUCCUUUUCUACUCGUGCCAAAAUUAUAAACAGUUUAUUUGCAUCAUUCUGCAAAUUUUAUAUAUGUCUUUGUGAUAUGGUUUGGAGGUUUGUCCUCUUCAAAUCUCAUGUUGAAAUGUGAUCCCCAGUAUUGAAGGUGGGGCCUGGUGGGAGGUGAUUGGGUCAUGAGGUCGGAUUCCUCAGGAAUGGUUUGGCACUAACCUCUUGGUGAUAAGUGAGUUGUUGAUCAGUUUGUUCACAUGAGAUCUGGUUGUUUAAAAGUCUGAGACCUCUCCUUCCCUCUCUCUUGCACCUUCUCUCCCCAUGUGAUGUACCUGCUCCUGCUUCACCUUCUGCCAUGAUUGGAAGCUUCCUGAGGCCUCACCAGAAGCUGAGAAGAUACUGGAACCGUGCUUCCUGUACAGCCUGCAGAACUGUGAGCCAAUUAAACCUCUUUUCUUUAUAAAUUAUCCCACCUCAGAUAUUUCUUUAUAGUAAUGUAAGAAUGGUCUAACACUACGUAUGUGCAAGUGUAUAUGUAUAUGUAAUGUAUACCUAUGUGUAUGUGCAUAAAUGGAAAAUGCACUGUGGUAAAUUACAGAUGGCUACAAACACUUAGCCACUCCUCCCAGAAAGAGGUGGAGGCUACCUCUCCUAUUUUAGAACUGCCAUGGCACUGUGACUUGCCUUGACCACUAAAAUGUUGAGAAAGUGAUGCUGCGUAACUUCUGGGAAAAACUUUAAGAGAUUUGCUGUUUCUGCUUGCAGUCACUUAGAAUGCUCCUUUUCAGAAUCUGGCCCCUGUGCUGUGAGAAGCCUACCCCACAUGGAAAUAUACACAGAGGAAAAUGGAGGCAGUGGCCAAAAACAUAAGUCAAGCUCCUAGUCAACAGCCAGUGCUGAUUAUCAGCCAUGUGAGUGAACCACUAGGGCCUUCUAGCCCAGUCAAGCCUUCAGAUGACUGCAGCCCCCGAUGUCACUAUACGGAGCAGGUGAACCACUCAACUGAACAUUGCCAAGCCACAGAACCAUGAAAGGGAAGACUGGAAAUAGAGUCCUUUAUCUCAGAUAUCAAACCCUGGCCCAGGAUACACAAGACCAGGAGUCAUCACCAUCAGUAACAGUAACAACAGCUUCAUUAACAAGUUGCUGUUCCGACGUGGGCUCCGGGGUGGGGAAGGAAGGAGGGCGUUCGGCUCAACGUCCAGGAGAGGCACCGGCGAACUCGAGAGCCAAGAGCGGCACUCCCACCUGGGCACUCCUUGCUGAUGGACCGGGACCUCCUCUCCCAUUUCUCCGGGGCCUCCAGGGCCCUCCCGCACAUUCAGCAUGAUCUCUGAGGAGUUCACUAGCUUUCCUCCCUCCGCUCUCCAGCUCCCGUUCCUACCAAAUGCACCAAUCAUCACUAAGCCAGGUCAAAGGCCAUGGGAUCAGCUGUGAUCUCUCCCUUCCUUUUUCAUUCUCCUCUCCUCAUAUCCAAACUGUCAUUAAACUCAGUGUUUCUUCCUUCA